GACUCGGUAGCGGAUGGGCCGCAUCUGCUCUGUAUUCAUGAGGUGCGCAUAACCAGUAUGAAGUAGAAGACGCCUGUUCGAUUCAGGGCCGAGUCA
This is a non-coding RNA of Mycena epipterygia, 96 nucleotides long. The record is from the annotation of a GenBank genome assembly. Lineage: Eukaryota; Fungi; Basidiomycota; Agaricomycetes; Agaricales; Mycenaceae.